RNAcentral lists this unclassified non-coding RNA (291 nucleotides) under Hevea brasiliensis (rubber tree). Lineage: Eukaryota; Viridiplantae; Streptophyta; Magnoliopsida; Malpighiales; Euphorbiaceae. The record is from RNAcentral.
AAAAGACAAUAUUGGUGAAAUUUGUGAAGAAAAAGUUCUCUAUUCCAAUAUGUGGAGAAGAGUUCGUGAAAAAGUCAAUAGGGAAAAAAUGGAGGGACUAUAAAUGUGACUUGAAGGCGAUGUAUGUGACCAAAUAUAAGACCAAAGAUGCCUUGAUGAAAAAUAGACCAGCUCACAUACCAAGGGAUCAAUGGAAUAGUCUCGUUUCGUAUUGGCUUUCUGAAAAAGCACAUGUUAGCGCUUCUUAUAUCUGGUUUGUUUUAUUAUUUGGAUGUUAUUAUCUAUAUUUUG